Long non-coding RNA from Rhea pennata, 397 nucleotides. RefSeq lists it as uncharacterized. The record is from RefSeq and is a predicted model, not a curated record. The transcript has 4 exons. NCBI's taxonomy places the organism in Eukaryota, Metazoa, Chordata, Aves, Rheiformes, Rheidae.
CCCCGCGCCGGGACUUGGCGCGCGCAGCCCGCCCGCGCCCUCCUUUCUGCGGCCCCUGCGCGCGCGUCCCGACAUGGCGGCGGCGAGCACAGCGUGUUGUCAAGCAAGGUUAAAAAUACCCUUUUCACUCACCUUUCUGGGAACUUGAACUAAGCUGGUUACUUCACUGGGCUAACAUUAAGCCUUCACCAGCUGCACAAUGCAGAGAAACACCUGAAUCUGUUGGGAUUUGCAGUUGUUUGCUGAAGGUCAGUGACGAAUGCUGACAAGCUGAACCAGCAGAUCUGACAACAACGGACAUUCUCAGAAAUCAAGGCUGGGCCUGGUCUACAGCUGCCUGGAAGAAAAGGCUGUUCCCUACUGUCGUCUGUUCCAGAAUAAAGUAAAUUACUGAAAA